ACGGAGGGUGCAAGCGUUGUUCGGAAUUAAUGGGCGUAAAGGGCGCGUAGGUGGUUGUGUAAGUCAGAUGUGAAAUCCUUAGGAUUAACCUGAGAACUGCAUCUGAUACUGCAUGACUCGAGUACAGCAGAGGGAAACGGAAUUCCUGGUAUAGAGGUGAGAUUCGUAGAUCUCAGGAGGAACACCGGUGGCGUAGGCGGUUUCCUGGGCUGAUUCUGACACUGAGGCGCGAAGGCGUGGGGAGCAAAGAG
RNAcentral lists this ribosomal RNA (251 nucleotides) under uncultured prokaryote. RNAcentral's name for it is "partial 16S rRNA". It matches the Rfam family "Bacterial small subunit ribosomal RNA", at positions 525 to 775 of the family's 1533-position model. The record is from RNAcentral.